Molecule: ribosomal RNA, 776 nt
Filed under: uncultured bacterium
Lineage: Bacteria
Description: bacterial SSU rRNA
Rfam family: Bacterial small subunit ribosomal RNA
Source: RNAcentral
UGAGNUUUGAUCCUGGCUCAGGACGAACGCUGUGGGCGGGCCUAACACAUGCAAGUCGAACGAGGCUUUCCGGUGCUUGCACUGGAAAAUCGAGUGGCGAACGGGUGAGUAAUACAUGAGAAACCUGCCUUGGAGACGGGGACAACCUCGGGGAACUGAGGCUAAUACCCGAUAUCCCUGCCGAGUCGCAUGACUUGGCAAGAAAAUACUCAGGUGCUCCAAGAGGGUCUCAUGCCCUAUCAGCUUGUUGGUGAGGUAAAAGCUCACCAAGGCUUAGACGGGUAGCUGGUCUGAGAGGACGAUCAGCCACACUGGGACUGAGACACGGCCCAGACUCCUACGGGAGGCAGCAGUGGGGAAUCUUGCGCAAUGGGCGAAAGCCUGACGCAGCCACGCCACGUGUGGGACGACGGCCCUCGGGUUGUAAACCACUUUCAGCAGGGACGAAAAUGACGGUACCUGCAGAAGAAGCCCCGGCCAACUACGUGCCAGCAGCCGCGGUAACACGUAGGGGGCGAGCGUUGUCCGGAAUUACUGGGCGUAAAGGGCUCGUAGGCGGUUUGGUAAGUCAGAUGUGAAAACUCCAGGCUCAACUUGGAGACGCCAUCUGAUACUGCCAUGACUAGAGUUUGGUAGAGGAGUGCAGAAUUCCCGGUGUAGCGGUGAAAUGCGCAGAUAUCGGGAGGAAUACCAGUCAGCGAAGGCGGCACUCUGGGCCACAACUGACGCUGAGGAGCGAAAGCGUGGGGAGCGAACAGGAUUAGAUACCCUGGUAG